GAUGAACGCUGGCGGCGUGCCUAAUACAUGCAAGUCGAGCGAACAGACGAGGAGCUUGCUCCUCUGACGUUAGCGGCGGACGGGUGAGUAACACGUGGAUAACCUACCUAUAAGACUGGGAUAACUUCGGGAAACCGGAGCUAAUACCGGAUAAUAUAUUGAACCGCAUGGUUCAAUAGUGAAAGACGGUUUUGCUGUCACUUAUAGAUGGAUCCGCGCCGCAUUAGCUAGUUGGUAAGGUAACGGCUUACCAAGGCAACGAGGCGUAGCCGACCUGAGAGGGGGUUGGGCCCCCUUGGAACUGAGACACGGCCCAGGCCCGUAGGGGAGGAAGAAGUAGGGAAUUUUCCGAAAGGGGGGAAAGCCUGCCGGAGCAACGCGGGGUGAGUGAAGAAGGUCUUCGGAUGGUAAAACUCUUUUAUGGGGGAAAAACAAAUUUGAAGGUAACUAUGCACGUCUUGAGGGUACCUAAUAAGAAGGCCAGGCUUAACUCCGU
This 496-nucleotide ribosomal RNA is filed under the name uncultured bacterium. Its description in RNAcentral is "partial 16S ribosomal RNA". It matches the Rfam family "Bacterial small subunit ribosomal RNA", at positions 28 to 506 of the family's 1533-position model. The record is from RNAcentral.